GACGGAAGGUGCAAGCGUUGCUCGGAAUCACUGGGCGUAAAGGGUGCGUAGGCGGCCGCGCAAGUCUGGCGUGAAAGCCCCGGGCUCAGCCCGGGAAGGGCGCUCGAAACGGCGCGGCUCGAGUGCCGGAGGGGAGAGUGGAAUUCCUGGUGUAGCGGUGAAAUGCGUAGAUAUCAAGAGGAACACCAGUGGCGAAGGCGAGUCCCUGGACAACACCUGACACUGAAGCACGAAAGCUAGGGGAGCAAACAGG
RNAcentral lists this ribosomal RNA (253 nucleotides) under uncultured bacterium. Its description in RNAcentral is "partial 16S ribosomal RNA". It matches the Rfam family "Bacterial small subunit ribosomal RNA", at positions 524 to 776 of the family's 1533-position model. The record is from RNAcentral.